This 1362-nucleotide ribosomal RNA is filed under the name Staphylococcus aureus. Its description in RNAcentral is "partial 23S ribosomal RNA". It matches the Rfam family "Bacterial large subunit ribosomal RNA", at positions 153 to 1515 of the family's 2925-position model. The record is from RNAcentral. Lineage: Bacteria; Bacillati; Bacillota; Bacilli; Caryophanales; Staphylococcaceae.
GAUAUGUGAAUACAUAGCAUAUCAGAAGGCACACCCGGAGAACUGAAACAUCUUAGUACCCGGAGGAAGAGAAAGAAAAUUCGAUUCCCUUAGUAGCGGCGAGCGAAACGGGAAGAGCCCAAACCAACAAGCUUGCUUGUUGGGGUUGUAGGACACUCUAUACGGAGUUACAAAGGACGACAUUAGACGAAUCAUCUGGAAAGAUGAAUCAAAGAAGGUAAUAAUCCUGUAGUCGAAAAUGUUGUCUCUCUUGAGUGGAUCCUGAGUACGACGGAGCACGUGAAAUUCCGUCGGAAUCUGGGAGGACCAUCUCCUAAGGCUAAAUACUCUCUAGUGACCGAUAGUGAACCAGUACCGUGAGGGAAAGGUGAAAAGCACCCCGGAAGGGGAGUGAAAUAGAACCUGAAACCGUGUGCUUACAAGUAGUCAGAGCCCGUUAAUGGGUGAUGGCGUGCCUUUUGUAGAAUGAACCGGCGAGUUACGAUUUGAUGCAAGGUUAAGCAGUAAAUGUGGAGCCGUAGCGAAAGCGAGUCUGAAUAGGGCGUUUAGUAUUUGGUCGUAGACCCGAAACCAGGUGAUCUACCCUUGGUCAGGUUGAAGUUCAGGUAACACUGAAUGGAGGACCGAACCGACUUACGUUGAAAAGUGAGCGGAUGAACUGAGGGUAGCGGAGAAAUUCCAAUCGAACCUGGAGAUAGCUGGUUCUCUCCGAAAUAGCUUUAGGGCUAGCCUCAAGUGAUGAUUAUUGGAGGUAGAGCACUGUUUGGACGAGGGGCCCCUCUCGGGUUACCGAAUUCAGACAAACUCCGAAUGCCAAUUAAUUUAACUUGGGAGUCAGAACAUGGGUGAUAAGGUCCGUGUUCGAAAGGGAAACAGCCCAGACCACCAGCUAAGGUCCCAAAAUAUAUGUUAAGUGGAAAAGGAUGUGGCGUUGCCCAGACAACUAGGAUGUUGGCUUAGAAGCAGCCAUCAUUUAAAGAGUGCGUAAUAGCUCACUAGUCGAGUGACACUGCGCCGAAAAUGUACCGGGGCUAAACAUAUUACCGAAGCUGUGGAUUGUCCUUUGGACAAUGGUAGGAGAGCGUUCUAAGGGCGUUGAAGCAUGAUCGUAAGGACAUGUGGAGCGCUUAGAAGUGAGAAUGCCGGUGUGAGUAGCGAAAGACGGGUGAGAAUCCCGUCCACCGAUUGACUAAGGUUUCCAGAGGAAGGCUCGUCCGCUCUGGGUUAGUCGGGUCCUAAGCUGAGGCCGACAGGCGUAGGCGAUGGAUAACAGGUUGAUAUUCCUGUACCACCUAUAAUCGUUUUAAUCGAUGGGGGGACGCAGUAGGAUAGGCGAAGCGUGCGAUUGGAUUGCACGUCUAA